CGAAGCAAGCUUUGCCUUGCUUUGCUGACGAGUGGGCGGACGGGUGAGUAAUGUCUGGGAAACUGCCUGAUGGAGGGGGAUAACUACUGAAAACGGUACCUAAUACCGCUUAACGUCGCAACACCAUGGAGGGGGACCUUCAGGCCUCUUGCCUUCCGAUGUGCCCAGAUGGGAUUACCUAUUAGGUGGGGGAACGGGUCACCUAUGCCACGAUCCCUAAUUGGUCUGAGACGAUGACCGGCCACCCUGCAACUGGGACCCGGUCCACACUCCUACCGCAUGCAGCAGGGGGGAAUAUGGCACAAUGGGCGCAGGCCUGAUGCCUCCAUGCCCCGUGUCUGAUGAAGGCCUUCGGGUUGCAAACUCACUUUCAUCGGGGAUGAAGGAAAUACGGUUAAUAACCUUG
RNAcentral lists this ribosomal RNA (406 nucleotides) under Enterobacter cloacae. Its description in RNAcentral is "bacterial SSU rRNA". It matches the Rfam family "Bacterial small subunit ribosomal RNA", at positions 66 to 471 of the family's 1533-position model. The record is from RNAcentral. Lineage: Bacteria; Pseudomonadati; Pseudomonadota; Gammaproteobacteria; Enterobacterales; Enterobacteriaceae.